RNAcentral lists this ribosomal RNA (179 nucleotides) under uncultured bacterium. Its description in RNAcentral is "partial 16S ribosomal RNA". It matches the Rfam family "Bacterial small subunit ribosomal RNA", at positions 1321 to 1500 of the family's 1533-position model. The record is from RNAcentral.
UGAAGCUGGAAUUGCUAGUAAUGGCAGGUCAGCAUACUGCCGUGAAUACGUUCCCGGGCCUUGUACACACCGCCCGUCACACCAUGAGAGUUGGGAAUACCCGAAGCCUGUGAGCUAACUUUUAGAGGCAGCAGUCGAAGGUAGAAUCAAUGAUUGGGGUGAAGUCGUAACAAGGUAUC